RNAcentral lists this long non-coding RNA (762 nucleotides) under Pongo abelii (Sumatran orangutan). RNAcentral's name for it is "lincRNA". The stretch from base 81 to 149 matches the Rfam family "JPX transcript, XIST activator conserved region 2". The record is from RNAcentral. Lineage: Eukaryota; Metazoa; Chordata; Mammalia; Primates; Hominidae.
GACCUAAGAUGGCGGCGUUUGCGCGGGGUGUAACCACUGCGUCCUUACGGGGGUUGCAAGGCGUCCGAAUCUCUUCAAAAUAUCGGAAAAUAAUUUCUUUCUCGCUGAUCGCCUAACUUCUACUGACGAGGCUAGGAAGUUGCAGAAGAUGGAGUUCACUCUUGUUGCCCAGGCUGGAAUGCAAUGGCAUGACCUUGGCUCACUGCAACCUCUGCCUCCCCAGUUCAAGUGGUUCUCCUGCCUCAGCCUCCCGAGUAGCUGGGAUUAGAGGUACUGGCUCCUGUAUCACCCAGCUCUGGAGUUGAAAGAGCUCUUCAUUCCUGAGUCUCCUGUACCACUGAGAAUAGGCUGGAGUGCAGUGGCGCAAUCUUGGCUCACUGCAACCUCCACCUCCCGGGUUCAAGCGAUUCUCCUGCCUCAGCCUCCUGAAUAGCUGAGAUUACAAGCAUGCACCACCACGCCCGUCUAAUUUUGUAUUUUCACUAGAGACGGAGUUUCUCCAUGUUGGUCAGGCUGGUCUCGAACUCCAGACCUCAGGUGAUCCACCCGCCUCAGCCUCCCAAAGUGCUGGGAUUACAGGCAUAAGCCACCACGUCCAGCGAGAAUAGGUGAUUUUCAAACUUGGAAACAUUCAGAAGUUAUCUCCUCAGUUUCAGAUUGAGUAGUCUCAAAGAGAUUACAGGCAUCUACCACAAAUUCUCUACUUGGUGUGGUGCAAAAUCAGUAUGAUGUAAACUUUGUCUCUCAGUUUCUUCAAAGGAA